Molecule: ribosomal RNA, 451 nt
Filed under: uncultured bacterium
Lineage: Bacteria
Description: partial 16S ribosomal RNA
Rfam family: Bacterial small subunit ribosomal RNA
Source: RNAcentral
AACGAACGCUGGCGGCAGGCCUAAUACAUGCAAGUCGAACGGAUGUAGCGAUACAUUAGUGGCGCACGGGUACCUAACGCGUGGGAACAUACCCUUGAGUAAGGAAUAAUGUCUGGAAACGGACACUAAUACCUUAUAAUGACUUCGGUCCAAAGAUUCAUCGCUCAAGGAUUGGCCCGCGUCUGAUUAGCUAGUUGGUGAGGUAACGGCUCACCAAGGCGACGAUCAGUAGCUGGUCUGAGAGGAUGAUCAGCCACACUGGGACUGAGACACGGCCCAGACUCCUACGGGAGGCAGCAGUAAGGAAUAUUGGACAAUGGGGGAAACCCUGAUCCAGCCAUGCCGCGUGAGUGAAGAAGGCCUUAGGGUUGUAAAGCUCUUUCAAUAGUGAAGAUAAUGACGGUAGCUAUAGAAGAAGCCCCGGCUAAAUUCGUGCCAGCAGCCGCGGUAA